AUAUUCAGGAAUUUCUUACACGGCCAUCCCCCUCCCCACCCACCCCACCCCCGCUCUUUGGCCCUGCGCUUAAAAUCUGAGUAGUAAGACUUUUUUCUCCUCAAGAACAUCUUUGAAGAUUUAAACCAAGUAAUGAAAAAAAAAAAAAAAAAAGUCCAGGCCUGAAGAACCUAGAUGCAGAGUCAGCCCCUGGCCUGCUGAGUCUUGGGGGGGGGGGGGGAGUUGGGGGGAGUUGACCUCAGAAGUCUCCCUGGUUGUACGUUGCCAAGCUUUUUGUAAAAGGAGGAUUAAAAUUCAGAUAGGAAACAUUUUUAACAUUGGUGAAUUGAUGGUAAAUGUGCUUAGAGGUUCGUUUUGUCCCCUUUUUCCCUUUUUAUCUAGAGUCCCUGACCACAGGAGUUCAGUCUGCUUUCUCCCCGUACAGUGCUUUCUGCCCUCUCUGAGCAGCGCUGUGCUUGCCACAGGCGCAGCCCUUAUUGAAUGAGCCUCAGAGGUACAGGUGGACCCAGCCUGCAGUUAGUCAGUCAGGCUUGGUUUGACUCUGUGUGCCUCUGUCUUGAUCGCUUGGCUUUGCCUGAGCCCUUUACGUGGGUUUAGCUAGAAUUUCCAUAGCCACUGUGGUUAUAACUCCCAUGGCAAGCUGUUUCCUGCUCCUCUCUCCCAUCCGAACCCAUUGCUCCUCCGUGUUCCUCCAAGGUUUCCCUCCAUCACAUUGCACGGCUCAGGUCUGUUCUGCUGUCGCUGAAUUCUGCAAUGAAGUGCAAGAGUUUCUUUAAACGCAAGGAACAGACUGUAGCUUCAUGCUGGCCAAACAAACACACAGGAGGGAAAGCCUGUGUUGGGAACAAGAUUUUAAAAGGGGGUGGGGCCAAAGAACUGAUUGGCACUGCUUUUUCCUUUGGUUUAAUCCACCCCUUUCCCAUGUGAUGAGCUGAAACUUAAAACAGGAAAUGAACUCACUGGAGGCACCAGGUACUGGGUGUUAACACAAAGGCCUGGCAUUCAGGCCAAAAUUAGCAUGCCUCUUAAUAUCAUUUUUUUUUUUUUUUUUUUUUUUUUUACGAAAGAGGUACUAAUGAAAAGCAUUUAAAAAAAAAUUCCAUAAUGAUUCAGAUGUGGAGUCAGCUUAAAUCAAAGAUCCACGUGGUCUGGUUGCCACCAAUUGGACAGAAAGCUGUGUGGUUCUCCCUUUUAGUAGCCUAGAUACAUACUUCCGAGUAUGUCUCCUGGGAGCAGAGUUGAAAGUGUGGGUUUAUGUUAACCGGCUGUGGCAGGGACAAGGAAAGGGGUAGGUCUGUUGGAAAAAGGUCUUCAUGAAGUGAAGAGCGUAGCACUCUCAGAAACCUCUCACCCAGAGACGUGUUGCUCUCCAAGAAAACAAUGGAAUGCCCGACCAGAAAGAAGCUAGGGAAGCGCUUAAAACUCUCAGAGAGAGAGAGAGAGAGAGAGAGAGAGAGAGAGAGAGAGAGCUCUCCACACAGCCUUGGCUUUGCUUGGUUCUCCAUUGAGGUUUUCUUGGGUGACUCUGUUGAGCCCAUGAUGGCCACUGGGCACAGCCCGGAAGGGGGCUCCCCUGCAUGUUUGUGGCUCUGGUAUUAGAUGGCAGCUUCGCAUGCAAGGCAGCACCUGUCCUUCUUCCUAAGGACUCUGGGCCAGGUUAGCUGCUCUGCGAUGUCUCCAGAUGACAGUUGUUGGUAUGGAAAACCUGCCCCUAUAGUGGUUGGGAUAGAGUUCGAAAGGUCACGUCAGCAAAGCAAAGGUUGGUGCUGCGCCUGUGUGCACUGGUGCCAGGCAGCACUGCAGCCCCCUGGGCUGGUUCAGAAUAUUCAACAGUGGUGGGAAAUGGCAGAAGACAAAGGCCCUUACAGAGUCUGGAGGUGGGAAUGGGGCAUGCAGGGUUCUGGCCGGUCUGUCAUCCCUGGUGAUGAGCGUCUGUCUCACGCAGCUGCACCCCCAGCUCCCUUUCCCCUGGCUUCCAGUGUGAGAAGCAAGACCUUGACCCUCUGCCUGCAAUGCUACAGAAAGACCACACUUAGCUCUUCAGUUACCAAGAAUGCCCGCUCUCUCCAGGAGCAUCUAGAGGGCUUGAAGGGUCAUCAACCCCUUGCUCUCACCUCUUCCUGCCUUGGAAAAUUGCUGCAAACCUCACUAACCGAAUCUCACCAGCCCAGCCCAUGUUUUUAACACAAUUUCCUCCUGUUCUCUCUGUGUGUGCAUUUAAUCCUUGAGGUAAUAAUGUGUUGUAUUAAAAUUUUCUGAUGCACUGAAUUAAUUCUCAAGUAGAAAAGGCUGGGGACUUCAUUCUCAUUUCUGUCAUUUGUUUAAUAAAUUUAAGAAACAUUCUUUCCAUUGUUCCACUGUAUACCGUUUUGUCAGCAUGUACCUACCUGGGAGAAGACGCUCUGUUUUGAACAUUCUGUCUUGAUCCUUGGAGCAUGGCAUACCUUCUGUCCCCUGCACUGUUGGAACGCUGUUUGAUGUCUUUUCAACCCAAAACCUUGCCUAAAUACCAAUUUGUACCUGGAAUACCCUUUGUAGAACACAGCAGUCGCUCACCCAGCGGCACUUUGACAGACCGAAUCAUGGCCACCCAGGCGCCGGGAGAAGUGUACACUUGGCUUUUGUGGCCUCAUCUUCUCUCAAGGCCCUGCACCGUAUAAGGUGCUAUGGGGUGGGGCAAGCCCUUGGAGGAGAGCAAGUUCACUUUAAAGGGGGGCAGAUGUAGGUGGAACAGAGCGCAUCUGAGACAGCAGCUUACGUUGGGAGCUCACACAGCCAGCCGUCCACAGGCUGGGCUUUGCUAUUCCCAGUGGGAGUGAAACACCUGAUGCUGAUUGGCUUUGGUGGGAGGGAGUGGGGCGUAGCAUCUCCAUCAGACAAGCUCUUUGUCCCCUGGGUGGGCACCCACAAUGUGUGCUCCUCAGAUGCGCCCUGCUUUCACUUCUGCCUGUGCUUCCGUGUGGAGCCUCCGCACAGCAUGGACUCCUGUCACCCAGGAUGCUCUCUGUCUUCUCUGAUAGCCAUGAGUUUGGUGGCGAGCAUGGAAGACCAAACUCAUGUCAAAUGUUUGCAUGGUAUUAAUAUCUUGUGUUACUCUAAACUCCAGAGGCUUUCCUAAACCUUGUCCUAACGGGAAUCUUGCUGUUAACAAACCAAAAACCUGUUUGAUGUAACUGUUCUUUCCCACCGAUGGCUGAAGCUUUGUCCUUCCUACAAGAUGGUAUACUAGACUCCACGUUCCUCAGUGACACCAAGUUCACAAGUCCUCCGCCAUCUUCAAAGCAGGAUUCUCCUUUACCUUUGCCCUAGAAGUAAGAGCAGCCUUGUAUGCUCUCUGCCAUUUGACCCUAAGUGACACCCCCUCUGUCUGUCUGUCUGUCUGUCUGUCUGUCGCCUGUCUGCAAGUCCGACAUCACUGUUGCUUGUCUGAAUGGCUUGGUGAUGAAGUGUGAAGUGGAAGCUUAGCUGUUGUUGAGCUCGCCUUAAAGGAUGCUGGUUCUGAGGAACGCAUGUAACUUGCCCCCAGCCACCUAAGGUAUCAGGAAGAGGACACCAUCUCUAACACUGGUAAACUGUGACCUCACUCUUCCAUGUGGGAACCUUGCCAUUCCAGCCAGCUGUUGUCAUAGAGUCCGAUGGCCAGGGACCCACCUCUGAUUCAGUGUGGUGGGGAUUUUCUUGGGUGGUGAAUGCUCAGAAUAGAUGAUCUCAUUCGAAAUUUCAUUGUCUUCUUUCUUAGUGGGAAGUCGUGAGUUUAAAAAGAGCCCUGUGUUUCUUCUGUCUUUCCUAUGUAUGCCUCUAGAACUAACACAUUCUGAGUAUGUAGG
RNAcentral lists this long non-coding RNA (3827 nucleotides) under Mus musculus (house mouse). Its description in RNAcentral is "long non-coding RNA chr14:121247670-121251497". The record is from RNAcentral. Lineage: Eukaryota; Metazoa; Chordata; Mammalia; Rodentia; Muridae.